GCGCUGUAAUGUUCUAUG
This 18-nucleotide microRNA is filed under the name Chiloscyllium plagiosum (whitespotted bambooshark). RNAcentral describes it as "microRNA PC-5p-356541_2". Lineage: Eukaryota; Metazoa; Chordata; Chondrichthyes; Orectolobiformes; Hemiscylliidae. The record is from RNAcentral.